Bubalus bubalis (water buffalo) is the source of this 550-nucleotide long non-coding RNA. RefSeq lists it as uncharacterized. The record is from RefSeq and is a predicted model, not a curated record. The transcript is spliced from 2 exons. Lineage: Eukaryota; Metazoa; Chordata; Mammalia; Artiodactyla; Bovidae.
UUUAAAGACCACAGCAGAGUCAUGCCAGCUGGAGUAAAAGGACAGGAGAGAGAAAAGGAGCCCAGGCAGCAAAUGGAGACAGCUGGGGAGAGGGCUCUGACUUGAGGAACGUACCCGGAUGCGGAGGCCAGAUCCAGGCUGAAGAAAAGAGUCAUGCUGUCAACUGGAGCAGAUUCUCUGCAGUGAGAAGGCUGGAGAAUAAUGUUCCAGCUGCUGUUCUGGUCGGGAAGAUCCCCUGGAGUAGGAAACAGCAACUCACUUCAGUAUUCUUGCCUGGAAAAUCCACAGACAGAGGAACUUGGUGGGCUACAGUCCAUGAGGUCACAAAGAGUCGGACACAACUGAACCCACAUAAACAAGCACGCAUAGUCAUUCUGAAGAACGGGAUUUCUUUAGGUUGACAUUUUACUUUUGUUGAUUUGCACAGCUUGUACAGAAUCUAUUGGAACAUUCAGAUUUAUGUAGCCACCAUUUCUUCACCUCUCUCUCUCCAAAUUCUUGAUUCCUUCAAAUCCCCAUAUUGAUAGCAAAAAUAAAGAUUUUGAGAUAU